Molecule: long non-coding RNA, 525 nt
Organism: Notothenia coriiceps (black rockcod)
Lineage: Eukaryota; Metazoa; Chordata; Actinopteri; Perciformes; Nototheniidae
Exons: 3
Source: RefSeq, a predicted model, not a curated record
UAAGAUUACUAGCUUGACUUUUUUGUAGCCAUUUUUAACGUCAGCUAACUGAAAAUCAAGUGGACGUUAAGUGACGUAAACGGCCGUCCUCCGCAAGCUUUUUACUUUCAAGCUUACAGAUGUUGAGUGUUUAAUUUUCACAACUAAGUAGAUUCACUCAAGUACUGUACCAAAGUUCAAUUUUGAGGCACUUGUACUUUACUUGAGUAUUUCAAUUGUUUGCUUCUGUGUCCUUCUACUCCACUAGGCCCUACUAUAAGAGGAGUGAAGGAGCCCCGCUAACAAAUCCCAUGGAUAUAUUACUGCAACUGGCAAAGUAACGUGCUAGCAUGGAAGAAAACAGAAGAGAUGGAGUGGUACCUGGAGGUGGCUGAGCGCGGUCCACACUACAGGAAGAAGGUAGACGAAACUGAAUCCCUACGAGGAGCAGACAACACCAGUUAGCAACAGCAAUGCAGCAGUUGUCGGCUAUAACAGCUAGCCUGCAGUCCUGACACAAGGUGAUGUCAACAACUUGCCCAACGC